GAUGAAGAACGCAGCAAAAUGCGAUAAGUAAUGUGAAUUGCAGAAUUCCGUGAAUCAUCGAAUCUUUGAACGCACAUUGCGCCUUCUGGUAAUCCGGGAGGCAUGCCUGUCUGAGCGUCAUUACAUCAUUCAAAACACAUUCUUUUGAUAUGUGCUUUGGUUGUGGAUGGUUGACUAUAUCUGUAGUCUCGUCUGUAAUGUAUUGACUAUACAUUUGUAGCUUUAGUUGUAGCAAUCAAAGUUGACAACUUUAAAGUGCACAUCUGUUGGUUUAGCUUUUUAAGGUUUGCAUUCUUUUAAACCUUUUUAGUUUGACCUCAGAUCAGGUAGGAAUACCCGCUGAACUUAAGCAUAUCAAUAAGCGGAGGA
Molecule: unclassified non-coding RNA, 369 nt
Filed under: soil metagenome
Description: partial contains 5.8S ribosomal RNA, internal transcribed spacer 2, and large subunit ribosomal RNA
Rfam family: 5.8S ribosomal RNA (bases 1-120)
Source: RNAcentral